RNAcentral lists this ribosomal RNA (253 nucleotides) under uncultured bacterium. RNAcentral's name for it is "partial 16S ribosomal RNA". It matches the Rfam family "Bacterial small subunit ribosomal RNA", at positions 524 to 776 of the family's 1533-position model. The record is from RNAcentral.
UACAGAGGGGGCAAGCGUUAUUCGGAAUCACUGGGCGUAAAGCGCACGUAGGCGGCUUUCUAAGUCAGGGGUGAAAUCCUGGAGCUCAACUCCAGAACUGCCUUUGAUACUGGAAAGCUUGAGUCCGGAAGAGGUGAGUGGAACUCCGAGUGUAGAGGUGAAAUUCGUAGAUAUUCGGAAGAACACCAGUGGCGAAGGCGGCUCACUGGUCCGGUACUGACGCUGAGGUGCGAAAGCGUGGGGAGCAAACAGG